CACGCAGGCGGCCAUCUAAGUCAGAUGUGAAAGCCCACGGCUCAACCGUGGAACUGCAUUUGAUACUGGUUGGCUAGAGUACGGUUGGGGUGAGUGGAACUCCUGGUGGAGCGGUGAAAUGCGUAGAUAUCAGGAGGAACACCAGUGGCGAAAGCGGCUCACUGGACCGUAACUGACGCUGAGGUGCGAAAGCUAGGGUAGCGGACG
Molecule: ribosomal RNA, 207 nt
Filed under: uncultured bacterium
Lineage: Bacteria
Description: partial 16S ribosomal RNA
Rfam family: Bacterial small subunit ribosomal RNA
Source: RNAcentral